GACGAACGCUGGCGGCGUGCCUAAUACAUGCAAGUUGAGCGAUGAAGAUUGGUGCUUGCACCAAUUUGAAGAGCAGCGAACGGGUGAGUAACGCGUGGGGAAUCUGCCUUUGAGCGGGGGACAACAUUUGGAAACGAAUGCUAAUACCGCAUAACAACUUUAAACAUAAGUUUUAAGUUUGAAAGAUGCAAUUGCAUCACUCAAAGAUGAUCCCGCGUUGUAUUAGCUAGUUGGUGAGGUAAAGGCUCACCAAGGCGAUGAUACAUAGCCGACCUGAGAGGGUGAUCGGCCACAUUGGGACUGGGACACGGCCCAAACUCCUACGGGAGGCAGCAGUAGGGAAUCGUCGGCAAUGGACGAAAGUCUGACCGAGCAACGCCGCGUGAGUGAAGAAGGUUUUCGGAUCGUAAAACUCUGUUGGUAGAGAAGAACGUUGGUGAGAGUGGAAAGCUCAUCAAGUGACGGUAACUACCCAGAAAGGGACGGCUAACUACGUG
RNAcentral lists this ribosomal RNA (497 nucleotides) under uncultured bacterium. RNAcentral's name for it is "partial 16S ribosomal RNA". It matches the Rfam family "Bacterial small subunit ribosomal RNA", at positions 28 to 507 of the family's 1533-position model. The record is from RNAcentral.